AGUGUAGGGGCGGCAGGUAGCCUAGUGGUUAGAGUGUAGGGGCGGUAGGUAGCCUAGUGGUUAGAGUGUAGGGGCGGCAGGUAGCCUAGUGGUUAGAGUGUAGGGGCGGCAGGUAGCCUAGUGGUUAGAGUGUAGGGGCGGCAGGUAGCCUAGUGGUUAGAGUGUAGGGGCGGCAGGUAGCCUAGUGGUUAGAGUGUAGGGGCGGUAGGUAGCCUAGUGGUUAGAGUGUAGGGGCGGCAGGUAGCCUAGUGGUUAGAGUGUAGGGGCGGCAGGUAGCCUAGUGGUUAGAGUGUAGGGGCGGCAGGUAGCCA
Oncorhynchus keta (chum salmon) is the source of this 311-nucleotide long non-coding RNA. RefSeq lists it as uncharacterized. NCBI's taxonomy places the organism in Eukaryota, Metazoa, Chordata, Actinopteri, Salmoniformes, Salmonidae. The transcript is spliced from 3 exons. The record is from RefSeq and is a predicted model, not a curated record.